Molecule: non-coding RNA, 3757 nt
Organism: Camellia sinensis
Lineage: Eukaryota; Viridiplantae; Streptophyta; Magnoliopsida; Ericales; Theaceae
Source: RefSeq, a predicted model, not a curated record
UAUUGAAGUCAGUUCCUAACAUCUCUAUAAUGUUACAUGCUAAUUUAUGAGUUGCAUAAUAUGAUUGAAUUGACAUUUUCAUGUCAAUGAACUAUUCAAGUGAACUUCCAAACGAAUCAAUCGCGAGUAAAAAUCAUGUGUCUUGGCAUCUUUAAAAGUACGAGCCACAAUGAUGGAUGGUUGUUUUAGUUUAAAAUGAACGACCACAUCAUAUCUAUGAAAGUUUUGUGCAAAAAUUAUUAUCGUUUAACAUUACUCUUUAUUAUUAUUUUUGGCCAUUUGUGGAGGCAAAAUUUUAAACCAAUCCUGAAGUAUCCGAAGAAAUUUCUUGCUCUCAAAGAUGACUAAAAUCUUUGUUGUUUGUUUAACUUGUUUGUAUUUGUUUUUUCAUUCUUUCUUCGCUUAGCUCUUGGUAUUAUAAAAAGAGGACUGUUAUAUUACAUUUUCUUUUUUUCACCCUUAUGUAUCAUUAUUAUUUGUUUUCAUUAAUAUCUUAAUAAUUAUCUCCAAACAAAAAAAAUCAAUCAUAACUGUUCAUGUAAGAGGGCAGUAACAAAAAAUUGGUGAUAUAUAACAAUUUUCUUAUAUUUAUAGGAGUUAUUAAUUUAGUAGUUAAAAUUUGAGUUAUUAACUUUGAGAUUGAAGAUUCAAAUAUAAGGGCAAGUGUCAAAGAUUAGAUCUAUGAUCUAGAAUUUUUUUUUCUUGGUGAUCUAUAUUUAGGUGGUGCCUUAUUGCUAAAAACAUCACAUGGCCAUUACAAUUAGUUUUAUAACAAAAGGGCAGAGACAGAGCAGUAUCAUGAAGACUAGCAGACAAUAUGUAGUGGCUAUGUUUCAAGCCUGUGGUUCACCUGCAGCCUAAUAUUAAUAUAUCCACACAAACAUCCUCUAUAUUAAUUAUAUAUGUACUGUGUGUGUGUGUAUGUGUGGUGAUGGAGUAAAGAGUUUAUGAUGAUGAGAAGUUUAUAAACAUGUGGCUGCCAUUUGCUAGAACAUUUAGGCAUUGGCCUUUCCAACAACUACUAAAAUACUUUCAUAUACAAUUCAGAGGUGGAAAGAACAUGAAAUGAAUGACUUUUUUUUUUUUAAUAUAACUACUGGAGUCUCCAUGGGUGCAAACGUAUCAGUUUUUGUCUUUUCAAUAUCAAUACAUUUUGGUAUUGGUUGAAAUAAAAAUUUCAUUUACAUUGGUUAGUUUUCGAUACGUAUUUUGAUACUCCUAAUAUUAUUCGAUAUUGCUGAUACGUAUCAUUCGAUACCAUUAGGUCUUUAGAUACCACUAUCUAAAAGCAUUAGGUCAAAGAAGACCUUUUGAUGCCCAAAAAAUAAGCUUACCAGGACAAUAAGACAAUGAGUUUAUGAUAAUUUACAGGGGGUCUCUCAAGACAAUAAGUUGAAUUAUACAAUCCCAUCGAGGGUAUAAUGACAAAAAGCUAAAGACUUAAAAUGAAUGAAAAUAAGUUUUGAGACCUCUGGUAAAACUCCAAUUGACAACCAGGCCAAUGCCUUCUUGCCAUGUUUGAAUGAAGAGCUUGAGGUGAGCUGGAAAUUACUUGUUUGGAUGAAGAAUUGUGUGGCCAUGGAAGCUUUUCCAACAUCUCUUUGUUGAACAGUGUUGUUGGACAUCUCCUGCAUUCGUCAAUUCUUGUGCCUUAUCAUGGAUGGAGAAUUAGCCACAGAACUCACCAUCAGAAUCAUGGACAUGUUGAAAAUGAUGAAUCAUGGGUACCGAUUUUUGUUAUGUGGUUGGACACUGUUCCUUGCAUGCCUUGGUACUGCAGAAAGGUACUAAUUAUAAUAUUGGAGUCAUGCUAAAUGAGAUUCACCCCUUCCCAACUUUUGUCAUGUUAGGCAAGGUUCUUUGUAUCAGCAGCCCCUUGUGUUCCAUGUUGGUAACCUAAUGGUCCUGGGUAGAAUUGAACCAAAUGCUUUUGUGGCUAUUCUUCAAAUUUUUCAUCAAGAAUCCUUCACAAAGAUUGAUGUAGUAGUGAUACUAUGAUACAUAAAGAGAAUGGAAAAUAAUUUGUCUUACAAUUCACUUAGAAUAAUAUUGCAAAGGGGUUAGACUUGGUUUGCAAUGGAUUAAUUUUAUAAAUUAAACUUAUAAGCUUAAAUACUUAAGUUGCUUGGAUCUUUUGAUCGAGUGGUUGGGUUAGUGGGACACUGGUUAAAGUUUGGAUUUGUGAUAAAUUUUUUUGGAUAAAGUGAAGGCUUCUCAUGAUGUCUACAUUUCAUAUUUUGGAUUUUUUCAACAUACUUCUACAACAAUUAUUUAAACACAAAAUUAUAUAAUGAGGCGAACGGAACUUGAACCUAAGACCUUUGAUCUAAAAAAUUCAAAUUGAGGGUUAUAUGUGUUGUGUAUAAACUGGUGGUAAUCCCUGUGUGUGUUUCGGCACAAACUAACUAGUAAGGGUUAAUGUAUCUCUUCAAAAUUCCAAAAUAAAAAAGUUUCAUAAAAUAAAAUAAGAAGGCUGCUAUGGGUUGUUAUGGGACUAUGGUAGUGUUUGGAUGCUGAAACUGUCAGUAGUUUUGGUGCACAGGAAAGGUAAUUACUGAUAGAGAUACCGGGAAGUCUAGAGGGCAUGUGUUUUUUUACGUUUUGUGCUAUUUGCAGGGUUAAGCAUGUGAUGGUGACAAGUUUUCUUUUGGUGUGUGGUGCAAUGACUAUAACAUGGAAAUGUGACAAAAUAUCAAAAUCUGGAUUUGGUAGUAUUCUUAGCAUUUGGAUCCAACUUUUUUGGCUUGAUUUCUUAUUUUCUGUGGUUUACUUAUUUUUGACAGUUUUUUGUACCUUUCUGGUCAUAGUAUAUAUUUUGUUUGGUGACCAAUUGAGUUGGUAUGUCUGGUUUUGUCAGUUUUUCUUAUGUGACACCAUUGGAAUUUUAUCUUUAUGAACUAAUUGAAUACAUGUGUUAGAAAUUCCUUGAAUUGGUUUAUUGUUUCUGUGAGUGCAUCCCACAGCGCUCUGUGAGAGUUACCACAUUCCACCUCAUAAGCUGAAAAUGAAAAAGCAAAAAUCUUCAGCACUUUUCUAUUUGGGUUGCUUCCAGUAUAUCAGCUCAAGUUCCUAAAAUGUCAAUAUAAUUCAUCAAAACUCUAAAAAUACCCUUGCCACUUUUUCUCUCUAAAAGAAGCUUUGGACCAUAUCACCAAUGCUUUUUCAUGUUAUCCGUAUUUUCCUAAAUUAGAGAAUAGUUUUCAAAAACAAUGUAACUGCUUGAAGUCUCGGGCACAACCUAGAAAAGAAAUAUGAAUGCUAGGUGUCCAGAGCACGACCUUUAGAUCAUGCUACAAUCUAGUUGCUCUAUGAUUUCUAUGCAGUAUCAGGAUCAUGUAACAAGUCAAAUGCAAGAUUCAAUUAAAUUGUGAUUGACAUGCCUAACUUUCUCAAGGCAUACAAGUCAGCCAAAAGAAUUUGUAUAUUCAUUAUGUUAGUCAUAUAAGGUGCAUCAUUUUUCAUGUUUUUGACUAGUAAUGCGUGCUUCAGGUCAAGGAUCAUCUUUGAUUAUAUGUGUGGGAAUGUUGACUGGCUAGACAGAUACAUUAUACAAGAUGUUAUCUCAGCUCACAGGUAGAUGCUUAAAUAACAAAUUAUUCUAGUGUCCGUAUUCUAUCUAUCUAGGUAAUUAUUCUACUGUCCUUUUCUUUUCUUCUCUUUCUUCCUUCCCCAAAACCCCUCUGCAGGUGUGUGGGAGAGAAGAAAUAAAAUUUACUCUUUGGAAGCUAAAAUCUUUUUUAAACAGGUGUUUCAUUGU